AAAAACCUUUGUUGGUUUUUGCGGGCUCACCAACGAACCUUUACAAAGUGUUUAAUAACAAAAGGAAAGAUUCAAACUCCUAAAUGAGCAUAUGAAACAAUAUAAGCUACAAGGAAGAGUUAGAAAGUAUUUAUCGCUUUGAAGUUGCUUUGCUCUUCUUUGUCAAGGAUGCUUCACUCUUUAAGGGGGAUGGAGCUCUUGAUGCCUCUUUGAAUCUGCUCAAUCCCUUUCUUUGAUUCUUGAAUGAAGCUCUUGAUGAAG
Molecule: long non-coding RNA, 261 nt
Filed under: Phoenix dactylifera (date palm)
Lineage: Eukaryota; Viridiplantae; Streptophyta; Magnoliopsida; Arecales; Arecaceae
Description: long non-coding RNA (PDAC_LNC018677)
Source: RNAcentral